GACGAACGCUGGCGGCGUGCCUAAUACAUGCAAGUCGAACGCAGUGGGGACGGGUGAGUAACACGUGGGUAACCUCCCAUCAGAGGGGAUAACACUUGGAAACAGGUGCUAAACCGAUACUGAUGGAUGGACCCGCGGUGCAUUAGCUAGUUGGGGAGGUAACGGCGCACCAAGGCCACGAUGCAUAGCGGGCCGGGGAGGGUGAGCGGCACGACGGGAAGUGAGACACGGCCCAGACUCCUACGGGAGGCAGCAGUAGGGAAUCUUCGGCAAUGGACGCAAGUCUGACCGAGCAACGCCGCGGUAGUGAAGAAGGUUUUCGGGUGGUAAAACUCGUUUGUAAGAGAAGCGGUAUCUAACCAGAAAGCCACGGCUAACGACGUGCCAGCAGCCGCGGUAAUAC
Molecule: ribosomal RNA, 403 nt
Filed under: uncultured bacterium
Lineage: Bacteria
Description: partial 16S ribosomal RNA
Rfam family: Bacterial small subunit ribosomal RNA
Source: RNAcentral